Ceratotherium simum simum (southern white rhinoceros) is the source of this 108-nucleotide non-coding RNA. The record is from RefSeq and is a predicted model, not a curated record. Lineage: Eukaryota; Metazoa; Chordata; Mammalia; Perissodactyla; Rhinocerotidae.
CCAUGGCAUAAAGCAGACCAGUGGGAGACUGUGCUAGACCUGUAGUAGAGGCCAUUUCUGAAGAUAUACUUCACUGUCACAAGCCAAGAAUUCUUCACUGAUUAAAUA